RNAcentral lists this ribosomal RNA (406 nucleotides) under uncultured bacterium. Its description in RNAcentral is "partial 16S ribosomal RNA". It matches the Rfam family "Bacterial small subunit ribosomal RNA", at positions 30 to 526 of the family's 1533-position model. The record is from RNAcentral.
AUUGAACGCUGGCGGCAGGCCUAACACAUGCAAGUCGAGCGAGCGGCGGACGGGUGAGUAAUGUAUGGGAAUCUGCCUGAUGGCGGGGGAUAACUACUGGAAACGGUAGCUAAUACCGCAUACCAUCAGAUGAACCCAGAUGGGAUUAGCUAGUAGGUGAGGUAACGGCUGACCUAGGCGACGAUCCCUAGCUGGUCUGAGAGGAUGAUCAGCCAAACUGGAACUGAGACACGGCCCAGACUCCUACGGUAGGCAGCAGUGGGGAAUAUUGCACAAUGGGCGCAAGCCUGAUGCAGCCAUGCCGCGUGUAUGAAGAAGGCCUUAGGGUUGUAAAGUACUUUCAGCCGGGAGGCGUUACCGACAGAAGAAGCACCGGCUAACUCCGUGCCAGCAGCCGCGGUAAUAC